Molecule: ribosomal RNA, 438 nt
Filed under: uncultured bacterium
Lineage: Bacteria
Description: bacterial SSU rRNA
Rfam family: Bacterial small subunit ribosomal RNA
Source: RNAcentral
AACGAACGCUGGCGGCAGGCCUAACACAUGCAAGUCGAACGCGCGUAGCAAUACGCGAGUGGCGCACGGGUGAGUAACACGUGGGAAUCUACCCAGAGGUUCGGAAUAACCGCGGGAAACUGCGGCUAAUACCGGAUGUCCCCUAAGGGGGAAAGAUUUAUCGCCUUUGGACGAGCCCGCGUCCGAUUAGCUAGUUGGUGAGGUAACGGCUCACCAAGGCUACGAUCGGUAGCUGGUCNGAGAGGACGACCAGCCACACUGGAACUGAGACACGGUCCAGACUCCUACGGGAGGCAGCAGUGGGGAAUAUUGGGCAAUGGAGGCAACUCUGACCCAGCCAUGCCGCGUGGGUGACGAAGGUCUUCGGAUUGUAAAGCCCUUUCGGCGGGACGAUGAUGACGGUACCCGCAGAAGAAGCCCCGGCUAACUUCGUGCCAG